Molecule: ribosomal RNA, 497 nt
Filed under: uncultured bacterium
Lineage: Bacteria
Description: partial 16S ribosomal RNA
Rfam family: Bacterial small subunit ribosomal RNA
Source: RNAcentral
GAUGAACGCUGGCGGCGUGCCUAAUACAUGCAAGUCGAGCGAACGGACGAGAAGCUUGCUUCUCUGAUGUUAGCGGCGGACGGGUGAGUAACACGUGGAUAACCUACCUAUAAGACUGGGAUAACUUCGGGAAACCGGAGCUAAUACCGGAUAAUAUUUUGAACCGCAUGGUUCAAAAGUGAAAGACGGUCUUGCUGUCACUUAUAGAUGGAUCCGCGCUGCAUUAGCUAGUUGGUAAGGUAACGGCUUACCAAGGCAACGAUGCAUAGCCGACCUGAGAGGGUGAUCGGCCACACUGGAACUGAGACACGGUCCAGACUCCUACGGGAGGCAGCAUUAGGGAAUCUUCCGCAAAGGGCGAAAGCCUGACGGAGCAACGCCGCGUGGGUGAUGAAGGUCUUCGGAUCGUAAAACUCUGUUAUUAGGGAAGAACAUAUGUGUAAGUAACUGUGCACAUCUUGACGUUACCUAAUCAGAAAGCCACGGCUAACUACGUG